Molecule: small nuclear RNA, 116 nt
Filed under: Sinocyclocheilus anshuiensis
Lineage: Eukaryota; Metazoa; Chordata; Actinopteri; Cypriniformes; Cyprinidae
Description: U5 spliceosomal RNA (ENSSANG00000000628.1)
Rfam family: U5 spliceosomal RNA
About the family: U5 RNA is a component of both types of known spliceosome. The precise function of this molecule is unknown, though it is known that the 5' loop is required for splice site selection and p220 binding, and that both the 3' stem-loop and the Sm site are important for Sm protein binding and cap methylation.
Source: Rfam by way of RNAcentral
AGCUCGAGUUUCUCUUCAUUAUCGCAUACAUUUUUCGCCUUUUACUAAAGAUUUCUGUGGAGGGGAAUGUUUUGCAAGUGACCUGUAUAUUUGGAGGCUUUGAUCACAGCAGAGCU